GAACUUGAGGAGGGGAUCGCCCACACUGGACUGAGAACCGCAAUACCUACGGAGGGCAGGAAGUAGGGAUCUCCGCAUGAACGAAGUCCGACGGAGCACGCCGCGUGAGGGAUGAGGUUUCGGAUCGUAAACUCUGUUGUUAGGAGAACAAGUACCGUUCGAUAGGCGGCACCUGACGUACUAACCAGAAAGCACGGCUAACUACGUGCCAGCAGCCGCGGUAAUACGUAGGUGGCAAGCGUGUCCGGAAUUAUUGGGCGUAAAGCGCGCGCAGGCGGUUUCUUAAGUCUGAUGUGAAAGCCCCCGGCUCAACCGGGGAGGGUCAUUGGAAACUGGGGAACUUGAGUGCAGAAGAGGAGAGUGGAAUUCCACGUGUAGCGGUGAAAUGCGUAGAGAUGUGGAGGAACACCAGUGGCGAAGGCGACUCUCUGGUCUGUAACUGACGCUGAGGCGCGAAAGCGUGGGGAGCGAACAGGAUUAGAUACCCUGGUAGUCCACGCCGUAAACGAUGAGUGCUAAGUGUUAGAGGGUUUCCGCCCUUUAGUGCUGCAGCAAACGCAUUAAGCACUCCGCCUGGGGAGUACGGUCGCAAGACUGAAACUCAAAGGAAUUGACGGGGGCCCGCACAAGCGGUGGAGCAUGUGGUUUAAUUCGAAGCAACGCGAAGAACCUUACCAGGUCUUGACAUCCUCUGACAACCCUAGAGAUAGGGCUUCCCCUUCGGGGGCAGAGUGACAGGUGGUGCAUGGUUGUCGUCAGCUCGUGUCGUGAGAUGUUGGGUUAAGUCCCGCAACGAGCGCAACCCUUGAUCUUAGUUGCCAGCAUUCAGUUGGGCACUCUAAGGUGACUGCCGGUGACAAACCGGAGGAAGGUGGGGAUGACGUCAAAUCAUCAUGCCCCUUAUGACCUGGGCUACACACGUGCUACAAUGGGCAGAACAAAGGGCAGCGAAGCCGCGAGGCUAAGCCAAUCCCACAAAUCUGUUCUCAGUUCGGAUCGCAGUCUGCAACUCGACUGCGUGAAGCUGGAAUCGCUAGUAAUCGCGGAUCAGCAUGCCGCGGUGAAUGCGUUCCCGGGCCUUGUACACACCGCCCGUCACACCACGAGAGUUUGUAACACCCGAAGUCGGUGAGGUAACCUUUUGGAGCCAGCCGCCGAAGGUGGGACAGAUGAUUGGGGUGAAGUCGUAACAAGGUAACC
RNAcentral lists this ribosomal RNA (1200 nucleotides) under bacterium A3-1-1. Its description in RNAcentral is "bacterial SSU rRNA". It matches the Rfam family "Bacterial small subunit ribosomal RNA", at positions 289 to 1501 of the family's 1533-position model. The record is from RNAcentral.